Molecule: ribosomal RNA, 420 nt
Filed under: Modisimus kiskeya
Lineage: Eukaryota; Metazoa; Arthropoda; Arachnida; Araneae; Pholcidae
Description: partial 16S ribosomal RNA
Source: RNAcentral
AUUUCUUUAAGACAAUAAUUUAAAGUAAAACCUGCUCAAUGUAAUAAUUAAUAAAUAGCUGCAGAAUUUCUGUACUAAGGUAGCAUAAUCAUUAGCCUUUUAAUUUAAGGAUAGAAUGAAAGGUUAAACGAAGUAUAAACUGUUUCUGUAAUUUAAACAUUUAAAUUUUAAUAGAAGUAAAAAUACUUUUAUUAAAAAGAAAGACGACAAGACCCUAAUAAACUUAAAUUCAGCUGGGGCGGCAAAAUAAUAAAACCUUAUUUACAUUAAAUAUAUUACUAUUAUAAUUUACACUCAAUUUAGUUACUAUAGGGAUAACAGCGCUAUUUAAAUUUAAAGAUCUUAUUAAAAUUUAAAAUUACGACCUCGAUGUUGAAUUAAUUUCACUUUAUAAAGCAAAAUUUAUAAAAGAAGGCCUGU